Molecule: microRNA precursor, 66 nt
Filed under: Bombyx mori (domestic silkworm)
Lineage: Eukaryota; Metazoa; Arthropoda; Insecta; Lepidoptera; Bombycidae
Description: mir-2774 microRNA precursor family
Rfam family: mir-2774 microRNA precursor family
Source: Rfam by way of RNAcentral
AUAAGAUUCGAACAUCGGUCUACCGAGCAAUUUGACCAGUUCGGUGGAAGAUCUUCCUUAUCUCGU